GACGAACGCUGGCGGCGUGCUUAACACAUGCAAGUCGAACGGAAAGGCCCUGCUUUUGUGGGGUGCUCGAGUGGCGAACGGGUGAGUAACACGUGAGUAACCUGCCCUUGACUUUGGGAUAACUUCAGGAAACUGGGGCUAAUACCGGAUAGGAGCUCCUGCUGCAGGGUGGGGGUUGGAAAGUUUCGGCGGUUGGGGAUGGAUUCGCGGCUUAUCAGCUUGUUGGUGGGGUAGUGGCUUACCAAGGCUUUGACGGGUAGCCGGCCUGGGAGGGUGACCGGCCACAUGGGGACUGAGAUACGGCCCAGACUCCUACGGGAGGCAGCAGUGGGGAAUAUUGCCCAAUGGGCGGGAGCCUGAUGCAGCAACGCCGCGUGCGGGAUGACGGCCUUCGGGUUGUAAACCGCUUUCGCCUGUGACGAAGCGUGAGUGACGGUAAUGGGUAAAGAAGCACCGGCUAACUACGUG
Molecule: ribosomal RNA, 468 nt
Filed under: uncultured bacterium
Lineage: Bacteria
Description: partial 16S ribosomal RNA
Rfam family: Bacterial small subunit ribosomal RNA
Source: RNAcentral